This 610-nucleotide unclassified non-coding RNA is filed under the name Hevea brasiliensis (rubber tree). The record is from RNAcentral. Lineage: Eukaryota; Viridiplantae; Streptophyta; Magnoliopsida; Malpighiales; Euphorbiaceae.
UUUCUACCUACCCGGAAAAAAAAAAAAAAACAAAACUUUCUCCACCUAUAAGAACAACUUUGAUUCUUCAACACCUACCUAAUAACCUCAUAAUCCUCAUCAGAAAUUCAGAAUACCAACUGGGUAUCUGCUAUUUUCUAUUGAGAAUCACUCCUGCAUGAUCGUUUAGACACAGAAAAGAAGAGAAAAUUUUCAAAACUAUGGGUUCUGAAGCAAGUCCUACACCUAGGCUCCCCCUGUUUUCGCUUCGAAGCAAGUCAAAUGAGCCACAAGGGUUACCGACUCCACCUAUCCAUACCUUAGCCUCAGUUCCAUUCCAGUGGGAGGAAGCACCAGGAAAGCCCCGACCCUGCACCACCACCAACAACGAGCAGCAGCCCAAGUCGAAGACUGCAAGAUGCCUAGAGUUGCCUCCGAGGCUGUUAUGUGAAGCCAAAGUCAAUAACCUUCCCUCUCCUACCACUAUCUUGGAUGGACCUUAUUUGGGUCACUCUCGGUCUCGCUCUAGGUCGCUGUCGUUUGGGAAAGGAAUGUCGUCCUUUAGUAGCUUAGAGAACCUGGGCAGGAGAGGAAAUAAGGGGAGAAUGAUAUUUGGGUCUAGCCGGUGGGG